Molecule: ribosomal RNA, 418 nt
Filed under: uncultured bacterium
Lineage: Bacteria
Description: bacterial SSU rRNA
Rfam family: Bacterial small subunit ribosomal RNA
Source: RNAcentral
UAGGGAAUAUUGGACAAUGGGGGCAACCCUGAUUCAGCCAUGCCGCGUGAGUGAAGAAGGCCCUCGGGUUGUAAAGCUCUUUUGUCCGGAAAGAAAAGCAUUCGGUGAAUACCCGGAUGUUCUGACGGCACCGGAAGAAUAAGCACCGGCUAACUUCGUGCCAGCAGCCGCGGUAAUACGAAGGGUGCAAGCGUUACUCGGAAUUACUGGGCGUAAAGCGUGCGUAGGUGGUUGUUUAAGUCUGAUGUGAAAGCCCUGGGCUCAAACUGGGAAUGGCAUUGGAAACUGGGCAGCUAGAGUGCGGUAGAGGGUAGUGGAACUCCCGGUGUAGCAGUGAAAUGCGUAGAGAUCGGGAGGAACAUCUGUGGCGAAGGCGACUGCCUGGACCAGCACUGACACUGAGGCACGAAAGCGUGGG